CUGGGGUUAUAGCACAGUAGUUUGCCAUCAAGGAAACCGCAAGCAACAAAGAUGUUAUCUCUAACAUAUGGUUCUUAUUUGAGGAGAUCUGUCAGGUUACAUGAACUGACACAGCACAGCUUGGGGCUGGGUGUUGUUUUACAUGCACACGUGGGCUCCCCUCACAGCAGUACCCUGAGCACAGCCCAGAUCACACUCCAGCACAGCAGUGCUGGCAGAGCACCCAUCCUGCAUGAGGGGCUUCAGAGCAGCUCCCAUCUGUGCCCCACAUCCACCAGUGGCUGUAUUUCUGAAACCCCACACAGCUGAGGUAGCAGGCAUGGCAGAUGAAGGGGGAUGCCAAUAGCAAAUCCAAAUAUAGCACCCAAAUCCAGGUGUGUGACCAUUCCCCUCCCCAAAUGGCAAAACCCAGCAGCAGGACACAAGUGGGCUCUCUCCAGGAGGCAGAGCUCAGCCUGGAUCCCCAGCACAGUAACCAGGCUGAGAAGAGAUUGGAGUAAAGCAGCAUGAGUGGGGGGCCGGGGCUGCUUUUAAGUGACAUACACGCGGUAUGACAAUAUGAAACAGCAGCAGCUGCUAAUGUGAUGUAGCAAGGGAAGGGUUCGAGUAAUUCCACAGCAACUAAACAAAAGCAAAGAUAAAGGGUGAGGAAGCAUCUCACUGUAAGCACCAGGUCCGUGGUCCCACAGGGCAGCUGCAUACCUGCAAGGUGUGCUGUGUGCGCCAACAGAAUCCUCAGUGCCAUCCCCUGGGUUACAGUGGUGCUUCCUUCCAUGACGAGCACAGCAGGAGUGGAAUGUCCUCAUCCUCUGAAUUUCUGUGGGCUCUUCAGAUACAACUUUUGCUUCUUUUGCUUUAUGGCACAGGAAUUACAAAGCCCAAACGUCCCUGUGUGGCUUCAGCAUAUGAAUUACAGCCUCUUCUGAGCUCCAGCAGCUGCCCCAGUAACCCUCUGAGGAGGUGCUGCUGCUAUUUUUAGAAGGACUCUACAAAAACAAGACCCAAAAAAGACACCAGCAAACAUAAUUAAGUUGGCAACCGGCAAUCUAUAAAAGCAGUGAGGCAAUGCUGCUACUUGGUUACACCCACAGCGGCCAUAAAUCAUCCCCCCUAUCUGACCUCUCUCUGCACACUUCUCAGGGGUUGCUGGUGAUCUUUUUUUGGGUACUUUUCCCAAAAUGCACAUGUGGUUCUUCGUUCAGAACUUCACGACGAUUCAAGUGACCACCCUGUCCUGGUAACUCGAAACACUCUUACAGCUGACACAAUGCUCCACAUACACAGGAAACAGCUGCAGAAAUGGAUGCCUGAAUGGAUUCCCAUCAAAGCCAAUGAUUCACAACAGGCAGCGCUCAGAAAGCAGUGACAGCCCUGGAUUACUGUGAGGAGAGGCAGCCCACCCUCCCCCCAGCCCCCGCUUCAUGCACCAUUAUCCUCCAUCACGCGCAGUUCUGGCAGAAUUGCAGGACUUUCCAAAACGCCCUUCUGCAGGUAUGUUUCAUCUCCACAUCGUGCUGCUGACUCAGUGCCUCUCAGCCAACCUGGAUAUGGAGAAAAAGCAGCAACUCUUGAGGUUCUGUUUCCAUGCUGGCUACGAAAGGAGUUGCCCACAAGCUGUCCAUGGUUGUAGUUGUGCUGAGAGCAAGCAGCUUCCACAAUCGACCUGAAGAAACCCCUUAAAAGUGCACGCCUGCCCCAUCUUGUGACCGAUAUGCUUCAUUAUCUCCUUUUGUACUUUGCCCAGAGGUUGCUUCCAUCAUUACAGACCUUUCACAUGUGCUGCUGGCCUCAGAUCGCAGGUGGUUUCUUUGCAUGCACUGUAAUCGACGCUCUUGUUGGUGAGCUCCUUGGAAGGCUCAGCAGCAGCACGCAGCUUAUCAAACCCUGUAGGGAUGCAGCCAGCAAGAAAUGGAAAGUGAAAUGUCCCAAGUCUGCUGCAUGCAGCUGUGCCUUCUGCUUGGAUUCCAAACUGUCACUGCUGCCAAUCCGUAUCUUUGUCAGAACUGAAUAAAAACAAAACCAACCCUAACAAAUUAGCAUUCAGUAGUGUGCAAACAGGAAACUUGAAACACGUCGAAUGUUUGGAAAUAACAGGUUCCUCUAAAGGAACCAGUUGAUGUAAGUUUAUGGGAUUGAGGAACCAGCAACAACAGGUUUUACAGGCUAAAAUGGAUCUGCGUCAUCAUUCAAGUUCCUGACAUUCAGAAAUUAAUGGAUUCUGGGGAGAUACUGAAAUCUACACAGCUUCCAAAGCAGCUGACAGUGCUUGACACCCUGUUCAAAGCACAAGUGCAGCACGGGAGGAAAGAGGUGUCUCCACACUGUGGCCUGGCACUGCUCUCCAGUGACACAAAAGGUGACAGCUCACCUGAGGCUGUGCUGCAGCUUGGAGUGAAUGCUCAGACCUGAGUCGGUGCCAUUUCCUCAUGCCAUCGAACAGGCAUCAUGCCCAGAACACCUCCUGUAUCAACACAUCCAUUCAGUUCUGAAUUCUGUUGAGUGCAUGGCAGAGAACACAGAGUAGACAUUUAAUCAACAUGUCUGUUUGUUCACAAUCCCUUCUAUUUCACAAGCUGACCAAAUGCUGCACAGAUGAACAGCUUUUGUUGCUCAGCAUUUGCCCUGAUUGAAAGCUGCCCUGCACAUAGAUCAGGGCUGAAUUUCAACCUGUCCCUUACUGUGGCCUGUAGUGCAAGGAGCAAAGCACGUGGUGUGACAAGGCAAUGGCACAAAGCCUGCCAGGUACACAGAGGGCAGUACAGUGAGGACCUUCAGUAUGAAGGCAAAGAACAAAGGCAAUGCAUGCAACACAACCCAUGGCUUACAAAGUCUGAUAACGGCAUCAUUUUCCCAGCACGAUGCGCACCCACCACAGCAUGCAUUGCUCACUCCAUUGCAGCACAUUGCUCACCCCACACUCCACUCUGCCCAAGAACCUCUUCUGUCUCUGGACAAAAGCUCUGGAGCUCACACCAGGGGCUUUCUGGAGAAAUAAAGUAAAAUUUCAUGGAGAAAUUAAGUUUAAAAGUGUCUGCAGUACAUAUUAUAUGUUAGUACUGCCUGAAAUCAGAUCUUUUUAAAAAGUUCUAAGUAUUUUCCUAACUUUUCCACAUGAGGCACACUGUGAAGGACUUGUCUAAGUUAGCGUAAAGCAAAUCACAACCAGCUGGUAUGCUCUGUAUUACAAGUUAACUUCUAAUCACACAUGCUUGCUUUUGCCAGCGAAGCACUGGUGGAAUUGGACUGGGUUUAGCUGCAUGGCUACAGUGAGAUCCAGCCACAAGUUACAGAAAUAAGUGUUACUUCUGUAGGCUCCCCAGCCAUCAUUCCUUGGCUUACUGGGAAGCAGCACAGCCACAUCCUGGCACUGACCUUAACUCAGCAGCAAUUCAAGGUUCCAGAUGGAAAACUGCAGCUUCGGAAGAUUUGUGGCUCGCUCCUGUCAGAAGAUAGGAGGUGUCUCUUGAGAUAGAGAGGAGCAAAAACACCCUGCUGGAUCUGGCCACACUUGCUUGGAAGCGGUUUCUUUUCAUUAUCUGGGAACAGUUCACAGUGCAAUGCCAGAUGCCCAUAUUUUCCAUCACACAAAUUGUAUUUCCGGUGUUAAAACCUCUUCAGCAUUCAUCUUUUACAGCAUCCUUUUUAUUAUCCUAUCAGAAUUAAUUUUGUACUAUGCUUUGAGGAUGAAAAAAGCCACAUAAGUGCUAAGCAUGUUUGGUUCCAUUACUUCACACCACUACAGUUGCAUACAGUUUACCCUUUCAUUAGGGGAAUAAACUCAAAUAACAGCAAUUAAAGACACAGCCUAACAUCAACUUUUCAUUCUGUAAAGAAGUUUUUAAACAACUGAAAAUAACGACAUGCAGCUUUUGUUUGAGACAGGACGUGUCCCUGAUUUCAUUCUCACGCUUUUUCUUUUGCAUUAAGGGUGGGCAGUGCUUUCUGCAGCACUCUGCAGGCUUUAAAGGGAACUAUAAAACACCAGGAGCCAAAACAAGAAUUUAAAAGUGAAGAAUCCCUCACAACACAACCACUUCUUUAAACCAAAGACUGCCUGCAUUUCUUUCUGAUUUAUACAUUUUACUGACCUAUGGCACUGGCUCCAGCUAUUUCCAUACACUUUCAAGGCUGCAAAGACACCACAGUGAUUUUUACCUAAGUCUGCUUUCUUCCUCCACGGAACAGCUCCACGUGGCAGCCCCAGGCUGCACUCCCAGGUGUUGCUCUGAGCUCUGCUCCCAACCCUGCUGCACACCCUGGCAUCCUAUCCUGCUAUACAACAUGGCAGCUACUAGCACAGUCAGUGCUUCAUGGAAAGAUUCAGGACUCCGCUCUCAACGGGGAAACAACAUCAGCUCUACCAAGGAACAACAGAGCAGCCUUUGCAUGAGGCAAACUCACAGCCACAGGCCACUUUCCUGCAACCUUGAGGACUGAAAGGAUGGCUGCUUCCAGCAGGCAGCUCAGGAGCCACAGAGGCUGAUUUGUUCCAACUUUGUGGUUUCCAGUAUUCCCUCGUGCCGUGAGUCCUAGAGUGCAAGGUCCAGCCUAAGAAAAACCCAUUCAUAAAUGACACAGCUUCUACAAAAUGCAUUGCCUCCAGGAAGCUGCAUUUCCUGAAAUGUGGGGAUGGAAUUAGCUGCGUGCCUUCUCCAUGGCACUCUGCUCCUGCACUUCACCCCAUUGCGAGAAAUGCUUUGUAAACUUUCCUUGACUUUAUGAAAUUACUUUGUUUGUAAAAGCUGGUGAACAAGGUUUCCUGAUAUUAAUACACUUUGCUUAUUGCUUAGCAGCACGACCUCUGGGUUUCUGUGAGCUAUGGAAAUGAGGGAAAUCUUGGCUCCUGACUCAGUGGGGGUCCAUGAUUUAUGCUCUCUCUCAUGCUACAAACAUUACUUCUGUGACUGCUCUUUAUUUCACAUGCUACUCCUUUCCCACAAUUUAUGAACACACAGCUCUUCCUCAGAGGGGUACUGCAGGACACAACCAGCAGCCAGGAGCCCAGCCCUCAGCCCUAUGCACAGCUCUGCAGCACUGGGCAAGAUGGGCCAGCACCAUGCAGAGCUGGGCAUUCUGUGCACAGGAACGGAGCCAGGGUGGCCACAAGCCCAGCUCUGCUCUCUUCUUUAAGUACAGAG
This 5138-nucleotide long non-coding RNA is filed under the name Gallus gallus (chicken). RNAcentral's name for it is "lncRNA (ENSGALG00010001648.1)". The record is from RNAcentral. Lineage: Eukaryota; Metazoa; Chordata; Aves; Galliformes; Phasianidae.